RNAcentral lists this ribosomal RNA (768 nucleotides) under uncultured bacterium. RNAcentral's name for it is "bacterial SSU rRNA". It matches the Rfam family "Bacterial small subunit ribosomal RNA", at positions 11 to 765 of the family's 1533-position model. The record is from RNAcentral.
GUUUGAUCCUGGCUCAGGAUGAACGCUAGCUACAGGCUUAACACAUGCAAGUCGAGGGGAAACGAUAUUGAAAGCUUGCUUUCGAUAGGCGUCGACCGGCGCACGGGUGAGUAACGCGUAUCCAACCUGCCCAUAACUAAGGGAUAAUCCGUAGAAAUGCGGUCUAAUACCUUAUGUGAUCCGAGGAAGACAUCUGAUUUGGAUUAAAGAUUUAUCGGUUAUGGAUGGGGAUGCGUCUGAUUAGAUUGUUGGCGGGGCAACGGCCCACCAAGUCUGCGAUCAGUAGGGGUUCUGAGAGGAAGGUCCCCCACAUUGGAACUGAGACACGGUCCAAACUCCUACGGGAGGCAGCAGUGAGGAAUAUUGGUCAAUGGGCGGGAGCCUGAACCAGCCAAGUAGCGUGCAGGAUGACGGCCCUAUGGGUUGUAAACUGCUUUUGUAUGGGGAUAAAUUGCUCCACGUGUGGAGUAUUGCAGGUACCAUACGAAUAAGGACCGGCUAAUUCCGUGCCAGCAGCCGCGGUAAUACGGAAGGUCCGGGCGUUAUCCGGAUUUAUUGGGUUUAAAGGGAGCGUAGGCCGUGGAUUAAGUGUGUUGUGAAAUGUAGGCGCUCAACGUCUGACUUGCAGCGCAUACUGGNCCAUUAGAGUGCGCGCAACGNGGGCGGAAUUUGUCGUGUAGCGGNGAAAUGCUUAGAUAUGACGAAGAACCCCGAUUGCGAAGGCAGCUCGCGGGAGCGCAACUGACGCUGAAGCUUCGAAAGUGCGGG